RNAcentral lists this transfer RNA (75 nucleotides) under Marmota monax (woodchuck). RNAcentral describes it as "tRNA.Phe". Lineage: Eukaryota; Metazoa; Chordata; Mammalia; Rodentia; Sciuridae. The record is from RNAcentral.
UUUGAAGGUGUAGCUCAAUGAUAGAGCACAUGCUUAAAAUGCUCAAGGCCCAGGGUUCAAUCCCCAGCACCAAAG